UACGUAGGGGGCAAGCGUUGUCCGGAAUCAUUGGGCGUAAAGAGCUCGUAGGCGGUCUGUCGCGUCUGCUGUGAAAACUCGGGGCUUAACCCCGGGCCUGCAGUGGGUACGGGCAGACUAGAGUGCGGUAGGGGAGACUGGAAUUCCUGGUGUAGCGGUGAAAUGCGCAGAUAUCAGGAGGAACACCGGUGGCGAAGGCGGGUCUCUGGGCCGUAACUGACGCUGAGGAGCGAAAGCAUGGGGAGCGAACAGG
RNAcentral lists this ribosomal RNA (253 nucleotides) under uncultured bacterium. RNAcentral's name for it is "partial 16S ribosomal RNA". It matches the Rfam family "Bacterial small subunit ribosomal RNA", at positions 524 to 776 of the family's 1533-position model. The record is from RNAcentral.